GACCCAGACUCCUACGGGAGGCAGCAGUGGGGGAUAUUGCACAAUGGGGGAAACCCUGAUGCAGCGACGCCGCGUGGGCGAAGAAGUAUUUCGGUAUGUAAAGCCCUAUCAGCAGGGAGGAAGAAAUGACGGUACCUGAGUAAGAAGCACCGGCUAAAUACGUGCCAGCAGCCGCGGUAAUACGUAUGGUGCAAGCGUUAUCCGGAUUUACUGGGUGUAAAGGGAGCGCAGGCGGCACGGCAAGCCUGAUGUGAAAGCCCGCGGCCCAACCGCGGGACUGCAUUGGGAACUACCGGGCUGGAGUGCCGGAGAGGUAGGCGGAAUUCCUAGUGUAGCGGUGAAAUGCGUAGAUAUUAGGAGGAACACCAGUGGCGAAGGCGGCCUGCUGGACGACAACUGACGGUGAGGCGCGAAAGCGUGGGGAGCAAACAGGAUUAGAUACCCGUGUAA
This 450-nucleotide ribosomal RNA is filed under the name uncultured bacterium. RNAcentral describes it as "bacterial SSU rRNA". It matches the Rfam family "Bacterial small subunit ribosomal RNA", at positions 328 to 793 of the family's 1533-position model. The record is from RNAcentral.